CCUACGGGUGGCAGCAGUGAGGAAUAUUGGUCAAUGGACGAGAGUCUGAACCAGCCAAGUAGCGUGAAGGAUGACUGCCCUAUGGGUUGUAAACUUCUUUUAUAUGGGAAUAAAAUGUUCCACGUGUGGGAUUUUGUAUGUACCAUAUGAAUAAGGAUCGGCUAACUCCGUGCCAGCAGCCGCGGUAAUACGGAGGAUCCGAGCGUUAUCCGGAUUUAUUGGGUUUAAAGGGAGCGUAGGUGGAUUGUUAAGUCAGUUGUGAAAGUUUGCGGCUCAACCGUAAAAUUGCAGUUGAAACGGGCAGUCUUGAGUACAGUAGAGGUGGGCGGAAUUCGUGGUGUAGCGGUGAAAUGCUUAGAUAUCACGAAGAACUCCGAUUGCGAAGGCAGUUCACUGGACUGCAACUGACACUGAGGCUCGAAAGUGUGGGUAUCAAACAGGAUUAGAUACCCGAGUAGUC
This 460-nucleotide ribosomal RNA is filed under the name uncultured bacterium. RNAcentral's name for it is "partial 16S ribosomal RNA". It matches the Rfam family "Bacterial small subunit ribosomal RNA", at positions 338 to 795 of the family's 1533-position model. The record is from RNAcentral.